GAUGAACGCUAGCGGGAGGCCUAACACAUGCAAGCCGAGCGGUAGAGUUUCUUCGGAAACUUGAGAGCGGCGCACGGGUGCGGAACACGUGUGCAACCUGCCUUUAUCUGGGGGAUAGCCUUUCGAAAGGAAGAUUAAUACCCCAUAAUAUACUGAAUGGCAUCAUUCGGUAUUGAAAACUCCGGUGGAUAGAGAUGGGCACGCGCAAGAUUAGAUAGUUGGUGAGGUAAUGGCUCACCAAGUCUGCGAUCUUUAGGGGGCCUGAGAGGGUGAUCCCCCACACUGAUACUGAGACACGGACCAGACGCCUACGGGAGGCAGCAGUGAGGAAUAUUGGACAAUGGGUGAGAGCCUGAUCCAGCCAGCCCGCGUGAAGGACGACGGCCCUAUGGGUUGUAAACUUCUUUUGUAUAGGGAUAAACCUACUCUCGUGAGAGUAGCUGAAGGUACUAUACGAAUAAGCACCGGCUAACUCCGUGCCAGCAGCCGCGGUAA
This 495-nucleotide ribosomal RNA is filed under the name uncultured bacterium. RNAcentral describes it as "partial 16S ribosomal RNA". It matches the Rfam family "Bacterial small subunit ribosomal RNA", at positions 28 to 523 of the family's 1533-position model. The record is from RNAcentral.